Molecule: long non-coding RNA, 400 nt
Organism: Gallus gallus (chicken)
Lineage: Eukaryota; Metazoa; Chordata; Aves; Galliformes; Phasianidae
Source: Ensembl
CAGAACCAGGACAGCUGACCUAGGCUGGCCAAAGGGAUAUUGCAUACCUUGUGACAUCAUGUGAAAAAUAACUUGAAAAAACUGAGUUGGCUGAAGGGCAGCUGCUGCUCAGGGACUGGCUGGUCCGUCUUCAGCAGGUGGAUUCUGAAAGCACCAUGGACUGGACCAUCUUAUCUGAACACGUAAUAGAGCACCUAAGUAUUCCAAGACUCUUCCUUCAUACUGAACAAUAUUUUUAUGAAAUCUUUGGUACUGUGAGUCACCAAAAGAACAAUGUUCCAUGUGUUGAUAUACCUAUUUGUGAAGCAGCACAGUGCAUGCAGAAGGACUGGUGAAGCCUAUUAACAGGGUUUCUAGAACUGAAAACUUAAGGAUAAAUAUCUAAGGAUGGAUACUGGGC